Molecule: ribosomal RNA, 451 nt
Filed under: uncultured bacterium
Lineage: Bacteria
Description: partial 16S ribosomal RNA
Source: RNAcentral
UAGCGAUUUCAACUUCACGUAGUCGAGUUGCAGACUACGAUCCGGACUACGAUACACUUUCUGGGAUUAGCUCCCCCUCGCGGGUUGGCGGCCCUCUGUAUGUACCAUUGUAUGACGUGUGAAGCCCUACCCAUAAGGGCCAUGAGGACUUGACGUCAUCCCCACCUUCCUCCGGUUUGUCACCGGCAGUCUCAUUAGAGUGCUCAACUAAAUGUAGCAACUAAUGACAAGGGUUGCGCUCGUUGCGGGACUUAACCCAACAUCUCACGACACGAGCUGACGACAGCCAUGCAGCACCUGUGUUCAGGUUCCCUUUCGGGCACUCUCUGAUCUCUCAAAGAUUCCUGACAUGUCAAGGGUAGGUAAGGUUUUUCGCGUUGCAUCGAAUUAAUCCACAUCAUCCACCGCUUGUGCGGGUCCCCGUCAAUUCCUUUGAGUUUUAAUCUUGCGA